This is a long non-coding RNA of Asparagus officinalis (garden asparagus), 452 nucleotides long. RefSeq lists it as uncharacterized. The record is from RefSeq and is a predicted model, not a curated record. The transcript is spliced from 4 exons. Lineage: Eukaryota; Viridiplantae; Streptophyta; Magnoliopsida; Asparagales; Asparagaceae.
CAGAGGGAUGGGAAUGACCUCAGCUAAGUCUUUCUCGAAAGCAUAAUUUUGAAAUAAACUCUCACUGAUUGGCAAAUUCUAGGCUCAAGAUCCAUGGACAUUAAAAUUGCUGACAAAGAUUAGAAUCUUGAUCCCGAGUCAAAAAAUUAAGAUUGCAAAUGUUUGUAAGGAAAUGUCACUUAAUCAUGUGAAGAGGGUUACAUUGAUUGAUGAUGGAUUUAGAAUGACGACUAAAAGAAUCCUAAAAAUUUGAGUUGUGUUAUUUCUGAAGAGAGUGGUUCAUUUGGAGCACUAUCCUUCAUGGUGAGCAUUUCUCUAUAUGAUGAGAAACUAAGCAUUUUCUCUAUACGACGACAAAGUAGAUGCUAUGGUAUUGAAUUGAUAUGACCAUAUUUGCUGCUAUAUUUUAUUUUCAGCUCAUGAGUGGCAUUUAUGCACAGAUUUUAUAGAAA